AGAGCGAACGCUGGCGGCAGGCCUAAUACAUGCAAGUCGAACGGAUCCUUCGGGAUUAGUGGCGGACGGGUGAGUAACACGUGGGAACGUGCCCUUUGGUUCAGAACAACUCAGGGAAACUUGAGCUAAUACUGGAUAAGCCCUUCGGGGGAAAGAUUUAUCGCCAUUGGAGCGGCCCGCGUCUGAUUAGCUAGUUGGUAGGGUAAAGGCCUACCAAGGCUACGAUCAGUAGCUGGUCUGAGAGGAUGAUCAGCCACACUGGGACUGAGACACGGCCCAGACUCCUACGGGAGGCAGCAGUAGGGAAUCUUGCGCAAUGGGCGAAAGCCUGACGCAGCCAUGCCGCGUGAAUGAUGAAGGUCUUAGGAUUGUAAAAUUCUUUCAGCGGGACGAUAAUGACGGUACCGCAGAAGAGCCCGGCUAACUUCGCGCCAGCAGCCGC
Molecule: ribosomal RNA, 442 nt
Filed under: uncultured bacterium
Lineage: Bacteria
Description: SSU rRNA
Rfam family: Bacterial small subunit ribosomal RNA
Source: RNAcentral